RNAcentral lists this transfer RNA (84 nucleotides) under Enhydrobacter aerosaccus. It matches the Rfam family "tRNA". Rfam says of the family: Transfer RNA (tRNA) molecules are approximately 80 nucleotides in length. Lineage: Bacteria; Pseudomonadati; Pseudomonadota; Alphaproteobacteria; Hyphomicrobiales. The record is from Rfam by way of RNAcentral. RNAcentral also lists the same sequence under 1 other name.
GCCCCCGUGGCGGAAUUGGUAGACGCGCCUGACUCAAAAUCAGGUUUCCUCACGGAAGUGUUGGUUCGAGUCCGACCGGGGGCA